Molecule: long non-coding RNA, 998 nt
Organism: Scophthalmus maximus (turbot)
Lineage: Eukaryota; Metazoa; Chordata; Actinopteri; Pleuronectiformes; Scophthalmidae
Exons: 2
Source: RefSeq, a predicted model, not a curated record
UAUUUUUUUGAGGUAUCUCUGCAUCCUAUAGGACUAUACGCGAAAUGAGGUUCAUACAUAUCGAAAACUAAUUUAUGAUCAUAUGGUAGGAAUCACAUUGCCAGAAAAUGGUGCAUAUAGUGUAGUAAUGCAUUAACAUUUUGCAACCAACAAUAUUUAAGACUUAAUUUAGAGCAGCCAAUCAUUUGUGGUAUAAAUGAUGUCAUGAUGACAUCAUUGCGAAAUGACAUUUUUACAGUAUAAAAAGUUAGUAUUAUCUUACUGGGGCGAAGACGGCGCGCGCAUGUUAUACAUCGACCCUUUGAUGCUUUUCAUUGCCACUUGCAACCAGCAGGAGUCCAGAAAGUUGAAAGCUCAGCCUUUGAAGUUUGAUGUGAUUAAGGCAUCGCAUUUCUACGUUUCUUUUAACUAUUCAUGCUUAAGAUGGCCCAAUUUUUUUUUCAAUAGCUGCACCAUUAUCAUAUUCACGCAGACUGAGCUGGCUUUGUGUGACAGCGCUCUUAAAAAAAGAAGUGACUCCUUUUAUGUGACCAUAAUCCUGUGAAUAUAUAGACCCUGCUGCAAUUGUGUUAUUACCUACCAAAGGUGACUAAUGAGCAUGAGCAUCAUAAAGCUCAGACACCACAUUCUGGUCCCCACCCGGGAGGUCUGGCCCUUCCAGUGACCCCAGUGUACCCCGUCAGACUAAACAAUGAUGCUGGGUCAUCUCCUCACGGACCAAGACAGAUGGCCGGCUCCUCUCGGCGGUCGCCACCAUGGCCAAGGUCACCUCCCCUGCUUUCGGUGCACCUGCACCCCAACACUCUCAUCAUCAUAAUCUCAAUUCCUGCAACGACUAUCACACGCCACUGCACAAAGCCUUCCGCCAGCUCAUCCCCUCCAGUGUCAACAGAGUGUACUGGUGUAUGUCACACCACGUUGAAGAUCACAACUUACCUGGAAAAAAAGGACACCUGUAGUACAACAGUGCAAAUAAAAUUUUAAAAAACUGUUUAAAG